This is a small nuclear RNA of Equus asinus (donkey), 103 nucleotides long. Lineage: Eukaryota; Metazoa; Chordata; Mammalia; Perissodactyla; Equidae. The record is from Ensembl.
UUGCUUCAGCAGCAGACAUGCUAAAAUUGGAAUGACACAGAGAAGAUCAGCAUGGCCCCUGCACAAGGAUGACAAGCAAAUUCAUGAAGUGUUCCAUAGAAAA